This 87-nucleotide ribosomal RNA is filed under the name Pyrinomonadaceae bacterium. Its description in RNAcentral is "partial 16S ribosomal RNA". It matches the Rfam family "Bacterial small subunit ribosomal RNA", at positions 1 to 79 of the family's 1533-position model. The record is from RNAcentral. Lineage: Bacteria; Pseudomonadati; Acidobacteriota; Blastocatellia; Blastocatellales; Pyrinomonadaceae.
CAGGUAUUAAACUGAAGAGUUUGAUCCUGGCUCAGAUUGAACGCUGGCGGCAUGCCUUACACAUGCAAGUCGAACGGCAGCACGGGA